This 243-nucleotide long non-coding RNA is filed under the name Elaeis guineensis (African oil palm). Its description in RNAcentral is "long non-coding RNA (EGUI_LNC034089)". Lineage: Eukaryota; Viridiplantae; Streptophyta; Magnoliopsida; Arecales; Arecaceae. The record is from RNAcentral.
CCAUACAAGCAUGCAAAGCUAUUAAUCAAAUUAUAAUAAUUUCAAAAAAAUAAUAAGUCUUCAACCCUCAAAAAUUAAUUUAUAAAUAUUAUAAUAAAUCAGUUUCAUCAAUGAACAACCCAAGAUAAUCUAAGUCAUUAAAUUCCAAAUUAUUACUAAUAUUCAAUCUAAACAAAAAAAAAGCUAAACUAAUAUGAAAACUAAAUGACAUAGAUGAUCAAGAUAGCUAGAUCUUCUAAUUGC